AUUGAACGCUGGCGGCAUGCUUUACACAUGCAAGUCGAACGGCAGCGCGGGCUUCGGCCUGGCGGCAAGUGGCGAACGGGUGAGUAAUGCAUCGGAACGUGCCCAGUAGUGGGGGAUAGCCCGGCGAAAGCCGGAUUAAUACCGCAUACGACCUGCGGGUGAAAGCGGGGGACCGAAAGGCCUCGCGCUAUUGGAGCGGCCGAUGUCGGAUUAGCUAGUUGGUGGGGUAAAGGCUUACCAAGGCGACGAUCCGUAGCUGGUCUGAGAGGACGACCAGCCACACUGGGACUGAGACACGGCCCAGACUCCUACGGGAGGCAGCAGUGGGGAAUUUUGGACAAUGGGGGCAACCCUGAUCCAGCCAUGCCGCGUGCGGGAAGAAGGCCUUCGGGUUGUAAACCGCUUUUGUUCGGGAAGAAAUCCUCUGGGCUAAUACCCCGGGGGGAUGACGGUACCGGAAGAAUAAGCACCGGCUAACUACGUG
This 484-nucleotide ribosomal RNA is filed under the name uncultured bacterium. RNAcentral's name for it is "partial 16S ribosomal RNA". It matches the Rfam family "Bacterial small subunit ribosomal RNA", at positions 28 to 507 of the family's 1533-position model. The record is from RNAcentral.